RNAcentral lists this ribosomal RNA (253 nucleotides) under uncultured bacterium. Its description in RNAcentral is "partial 16S ribosomal RNA". It matches the Rfam family "Bacterial small subunit ribosomal RNA", at positions 524 to 776 of the family's 1533-position model. The record is from RNAcentral.
UACGUAGGGGGCUAGCGUUGUCCGGAAUCAUUGGGCGUAAAGCGCGUGUAGGCGGUCCGGUAAGUCCGCUGUGAAAGUCGAGGGCUCAACCCUCGAAUGCCGGUGGAUACUGUCGGGCUUGAGUACGGGAGAGGCGAGUGGAAUUCCUGGUGUAGCGGUGAAAUGCGCAGAUAUCGGGAGGAACACCAAUGGCGAAGGCAGCUCGCUGGGACGGUACUGACGCUGAGACGCGAAAGCGUGGGGAGCAAACAGG